RNAcentral lists this long non-coding RNA (251 nucleotides) under Gossypium barbadense (sea-island cotton). RNAcentral's name for it is "long non-coding RNA (GBAR_LNC013331)". Lineage: Eukaryota; Viridiplantae; Streptophyta; Magnoliopsida; Malvales; Malvaceae. The record is from RNAcentral.
UCAAAGCUGUCCAAAAUAGGACAUGCUUCCUAUGAUUAUUUAGUGUAAAUGCUUGUUUAAUUGGAGUAUAUUGCUGUCCAAAACAGGGUAGGUUACCUAUGUUUGUCUUAUUUGACGUAAUUAGUAAUUUGUUAAUGAAAUAAAUGAAUAGAAAUGGAUGUUUUGCCAUAGGCUCAGUAUAUGAAAUGUGUUGUUAUAUGUUUGAAAAUAUUUUAAGUAUUUGAAUGACAUGAAAUUCGAUUAGAUAAAUG